RNAcentral lists this ribosomal RNA (497 nucleotides) under uncultured bacterium. Its description in RNAcentral is "partial 16S ribosomal RNA". It matches the Rfam family "Bacterial small subunit ribosomal RNA", at positions 28 to 507 of the family's 1533-position model. The record is from RNAcentral.
GAUGAACGCUGGCGGCGUGCCUAAUACAUGCAAGUCGAGCGAACAGACGAGGAGCUUGCUCCUUCGACGUUAGCGGCGGACGGGUGAGUAACACGUAGGUAACCUACCUCUAAGACUGGGAUAACUUCGGGAAACCGGAGCUAAUACCGGAUAAUAUUUCGAACCGCAUGGUUCGAUAGUUAAAGAUGGCUUUGCUAUCACUUAUAGAUGGACCUGCGCCGUAUUAGCUAGUUGGUAAGGUAACGGCUUACCAAGGCAACGAUACGUAGCCGACCUGAGAGGGUGAUCGGCCACACUGGAACUGAGACACGGUCCAGACUCCUACGGGAGGCAGCAGUAGGGAAUCUUCCGCAAUGGGCGAAAGCCUGACGGAGCAACGCCGCGUGAGUGAUGAAGGUCUUCGGAUCGUAAAACUCUGUUAUUAGGGAAGAACAAACGUGUAAGUAACUGUGCACGUCUUGACGGUACCUAAUCAGAAAGCCACGGCUAACUACGUG